This is a long non-coding RNA of Protopterus annectens (West African lungfish), 617 nucleotides long. RefSeq lists it as uncharacterized. The transcript has 5 exons. Lineage: Eukaryota; Metazoa; Chordata; Ceratodontiformes; Protopteridae. The record is from RefSeq and is a predicted model, not a curated record.
GGUACACGGAAGUGAGGGGGGUCGGCAGUGGUGGAGCUUCGGUUGUAAAAUCCCUCCCUUUCGAAAACAGCUACUGUUUUUUUUUUUCUGUAGAAAGCACGUCACUGUAGUAUUGCUGGCGAGGUGGUCUGUAGCUGUCUCCUUCCAUACUGAAACGGUUCCUCUUCAGAUAAGAGAUUAUAGUGGUCUGUAUCUUGAAGAAAUUUUUUCAGCCACUGUAUUUGCCAACUACCUAAUCUGUUUUGCUUCAACAAGAUGGUGAUUUAAAUGGAAAGUUGGAUUUCAUAACUGGGCAUGAGGCAUUCAUUCCAUUUAGUUGCAUAUAUUCUAAUUCAAACACAGAAAGUUCAAAGCCAGUCACGUACAAAAAUUUGAAGUAUUUUGAGGAUUAUGUUCCCACACAAAAGGAUUUCACUCUAAGUAAAGGCUAUAAGUUUUGGCAUAGUGUGGACACUACCAAUAAAAGCAAGAAAAAGGAGCAGUCACCUACUGAGAAAGUAAAAGUGAUUCAUCUUAAAAGAGGAAGAUAAGGUUGGUUAUAUCCAGAAAAAUAGACUGGAUAGCAAUGGUCCUACUACUGAACCUUGAGAGACUCCAUUAAACAUCUGACUUAAGUA